CCCUUCGAUGUUCUGGGCUGCACGCGCGCUACACUGAUGCGUUCAACGAGUGUACAACCUUGCCCGAUAGGGUUGGGUAACCUUUUGAACACGUAUCGUGAUGGGGAUAGAUUAUUGCAAUUAUUAAUCUUCAACGAGGAAUUCCUAGUAAUGGCGAAUCAUCAGUUCGUCGUGAUUACGUCCCUGCCCUUUGUACACACCGCCCGUCGCUCCUACCGAUUGAGCAAUCCGGUGAAUAUUUCGGACCGAAUAUCUGCGGGGCAACCCAUGGACGUUUGGAAAGUCAAGUAAACCUUAUUGCUUAGAGGAAGGAGAAGUCGUAACA
This 325-nucleotide ribosomal RNA is filed under the name uncultured eukaryote. RNAcentral's name for it is "partial 18S ribosomal RNA". It matches the Rfam family "Eukaryotic small subunit ribosomal RNA", at positions 1470 to 1796 of the family's 1831-position model. The record is from RNAcentral.